GAUUAUUAUGAAUAUUUAUUAUGUUUUAGGUCUCAGUAUGAUAAAAAUACAUUAUCUAUACUCACCAGUUUUCUUAGGUCUUAUUAUGAGUUAUAAGAAAGUUUGUCUGAUUAUAUGUACACAGUGCUUUCUCUGAUUGUCUGAUUAUAUGUACACAGUGCUUUCUCUGUUUGGAUAUAUGUUGGUAAAAAGGCAAAUAUGUCAUAGCAUAUCAUGCAAAAUGCAUCAUAGGUAAUGAUUGUUCUUCGCUUUAAUCUUCAUAUAUAAAAGGGAUUGCAUUUGAUGAUCAUUAGAUUCCAUGUGAGAGCUUACAACAGAUCAAUUUUCUUUGUUUCCACCUCAUUGACUGUUUGUUGUACAUGAUAUGGAAAAUCUUACCUUCUUUGUUCUCCUACCAUGCAUUUGAGAUGUUGGACUAAUGGAAUAAAAAGUGGUUGCAUGUAUGUAGUAAAGCUGUGUUGCGAUCAUAUUAAACAUGAUUGCUUUCCAUCAAAUCAAAAUUCAUGUGCAGAGCUGUAAUAAGUGUCCAUUCUAUAUACUUUUAUGCCUGCAGUCGCACUUAACAAACAAAAUGGAGAACAGGCCAAAUCUGAAUGCAACUGGAACACAAGAUAGUGAUAUUAUGAAGCCUCUGGAACAAAAAGAGAGGUUUAGGAGCCGUAACGAUAUGAUGACUCGUCGUCUAAAGAACCGAGAACGGCAACGUAGGUACAGGGCCCGAAAACGCCUUGAAGCAGAUAUGGAAAAAUCUUCUGUCACAAACCAGUCAUCUAUACCACAAGGGGAACUGGAAAUUAAUGGAAACCAUAACAAUUACAUUACCCGUGUUUAUUGUAAAAGAAAUUGGAAAAAAGAUGCAAGAAGAGCUCAUACAUGUAAAAGUUUACAAGAAGCAAGUGCAGCUGUUAUUUCUGGUGUGACCUUAAAUAGUGAAAGUCAGACACACUCUUUGGUCCCUGAAGUAGCAAUACAACCACUCAUAGAGAGGAAAAGCCAUUCAGAGAAUUCUCUUAGCAUGUCAGGUGAAACAAAAACCAGUCUUGGUAGAAGAGAUUGGAAGGCUGAAGCAAGAAGAAAGAAAAACUAAAUUGGUUAUUACCACUCUGGAUGAAUGAAUGUGCUACAGAUGCAAAGUGGUUGCUGGAUAUAGACUGGAAAAUGUUCAAGUUGUAAUGUUGAUGUGCUUCUGCUGUUGCAGAUCUAUAAGGGCAUCACAGAAGUAUAUCCAGCAAGUCACAGUUCAAUUACCACCUAUUUUAUUGCUGGAAGAAUGUUGAUAUUGGAAGAUGAUAGUAGGCUUGACACCUGCCUCAUUUGUCUUUGUCAGGUCAGGUCCGGUCAGAAAUGUUCGAUCCAGCUAUUCUGAAAACGAAAACGGAGUUGCUCGAUAUUUAUGCUUAGUGUUACAAACUCGUGUCAUGAAGUGAGAGCUUUGUGGCAUUAUUAAUUUCUGUUAUUUCUGUAAGAAUACAAAUUUUAUGUGCGAGUAAUUUACCCAUUUUGAGGUUUAGUUUGGUAGUUUGUGUGGUGGGAUUUGGAAGGAUUGGCAGAUAAUGUGACACAUAUUGCAGUGUCUUUCGGCUGCAAAAUGAUCAGUAUGAUAUUAAAUUGCAGUUAUGAACUCAUUUAAUGGUCUAGGUCCCAUUUUACCUGUCAAUUUGUAUUUAACGGGUAUAUUAUGUCAGCAAAAUAAAUGGUGUUUCUUUUUUCCUUUGUA
Molecule: RNA transcript, 1717 nt
Organism: Manihot esculenta (cassava)
Lineage: Eukaryota; Viridiplantae; Streptophyta; Magnoliopsida; Malpighiales; Euphorbiaceae
Exons: 3
Source: RefSeq, a predicted model, not a curated record